Molecule: unclassified non-coding RNA, 235 nt
Filed under: plant metagenome
Description: partial contains small subunit ribosomal RNA, internal transcribed spacer 1, and 5.8S ribosomal RNA
Rfam family: Eukaryotic small subunit ribosomal RNA (bases 1-54)
Source: RNAcentral
GGAAGUAAAAGCCGUAACAAGGUUUCCGUAGGUGAACCUGCGGAAGGAUCAUUCAUAAUAAGUGUUUUAUGGCACUUUUUUAAAUCCAUAUCCACCUUGUGUGCAAUGUCAGGGUUGAUUUUUCUCUCGAGAGGAUCAACCCCAAACAUCAACUAUAUCUCAACUCUUUGUCUGAAAAAUAUUAUGAAUAAAACAAUUCAAAAUACAACUUUCAACAACGGAUCUCUUGGCUCUC